Molecule: long non-coding RNA, 972 nt
Organism: Vicia villosa (hairy vetch)
Lineage: Eukaryota; Viridiplantae; Streptophyta; Magnoliopsida; Fabales; Fabaceae
Exons: 3
Source: RefSeq, a predicted model, not a curated record
GAAAAUAAAGACAAAAAUGUCUAAAGAAAAAAAAAAGAAAGUGUUUUAUCCUUUCAAAUCUUUUCACUUUGGAGGGAGCAAAUAUUGGCUUUAUCAUUUUCGUCCUCUCCCUUUCCCUCUGAUCAAAAGUGAAACUAAAUAAAUCAGGGAAGGUCCCCAUUUCCGUCAAACUCAAAGAACCAACAAAUUCUAGCAUUUCAGCGAUCAAAUUACAUGAAAGCGAAAACCCUAAAUCCAUAAUCAUCAUCAGCAGCACCACUGAACACAGAGCUAACCAUUGCUUCACUAUUACAAACAGGUAUAAUGGCUUUCAUAUUCAUUCUUCGCACAUUGCAAAUGCUGAAUGAUGCUCAGAAACUACAACAUUUCAGAUGAAACAUGGAUUGAAGAUGUUGAAGGAGAAGACAAAAAGGGUUUCGGCGGUAUUUCCAGCACUUGAAGGCUCCCUUCCAACAUUUCCACCACUUUACGCAUUGAUGGUCGAUUUGAAGGGUCAGUUUGUAUGCACCAUAAACUCACCACUGUCAUUUUUCUUACCAUUUCUUCAUCAAUUUCAUUUUUAACACACUUAAGUCCAAGAUCCUGAUUCAAUUCAAGACGUUUAUAAAUCCAGUGUGGAAAAUAUAACUCACUAGAACAAUCCACUUCAACUUUAAUGUUCUUUCUUCGACCAACCAUUUCUAAAACCAUCAUUCCAUAACUAUAGACAUCUGAUUUAUGUGACACCCCACCAAAAUUUUAAGAGAACAACUCUGGAGCAAUAUAUCCGGGUGUUCCCCUUGCACCAAAUACGGAUACAAUGCUUUCAUUUUUUAGACAUAUUUUAGCAAGUCCAAAAUCUGAAAUUUUCGGACAUAGAUCCUCAUCAAGUAAUAUAUUAUGAGGUUUUAUGUCGAAAUGUAAGAUUCUGGUGUUGCAACCUCUAUGCAAGUACUCUAGUCCCCGAGCAACACCAACAGCAAUAUCAUACUG